UAAAUGCUCGUUUCAGUUCCUCAUGGUUGUCUAGUGAUGGGCUUCUGUACAUGCAUCCAAUCAGUAGUUUGUCUGAGCCUCUUAGAGUAAUUAAGAUCCACACUGACUCAUGGAAACUGUGCUGCAAAUCACAUUCACCGACAAGGUGGUAAAGAUCUCUUGCGAUAUAAAUUGCAACUCCUCUAUUUCCAUCCUCCAGAUUGCAGUGCAAAUCAUAUCCCUCUAAAAUUAAAAUUAAAAAUAAACUAAUACAAAAUCUAACGUUUCAAUCCAUAAAACAACAUUUU
Long non-coding RNA from Strongylocentrotus purpuratus (purple sea urchin), 287 nucleotides. RefSeq lists it as uncharacterized. Lineage: Eukaryota; Metazoa; Echinodermata; Echinoidea; Camarodonta; Strongylocentrotidae. The transcript has 2 exons. The record is from RefSeq and is a predicted model, not a curated record.